UACGUAGGGUGCAAGCGUUGUCCGGAAUUAUUGGGCGUAAAGAGCUCGUAGGCGGUCUGUCGCGUCGGCUGUGAAAUCCCGAGGCUCAACCUCGGGUCUGCAGUCGAUACGGGCAAACUAGAGUAUUGCAGGGGAGACUGGAAUUCCUGGUGUAGCGGUGAAAUGCGCAGAUAUCAGGAGGAACACCGGUGGCGAAGGCGGGUCUCUGGGCCGAUACUGACACUGAGGAGCGAAAGCGUGGGGAGCGAACAGG
RNAcentral lists this ribosomal RNA (253 nucleotides) under uncultured bacterium. Its description in RNAcentral is "partial 16S ribosomal RNA". It matches the Rfam family "Bacterial small subunit ribosomal RNA", at positions 524 to 776 of the family's 1533-position model. The record is from RNAcentral.